UGAGGAAUAUUGGUCAAUGGGCGCAGGCCUGAACCAGCCAAGUAGCGUGAAGGAUGACUGCCCUAUGGGUUGUAAACUUCUUUUAUAAAGGAAUAAAGUCGGGUAUGUAUACCCGUUUGCAUGUACUUUAUGAAUAAGGAUCGGCUAACUCCGUGCCAGCAGCCGCGGUAAUACGGAGGAUCCGAGCGUUAUCCGGAUUUAUUGGGUUUAAAGGGAGCGUAGAUGGAUGUUUAAGUCAGUUGUGAAAGUUUGCGGCUCAACCGUAAAAUUGCAGUUGAUACUGGAUAUCUUGAGUGCAGUUGAGGCAGGCGGAAUUCGUGGUGUAGCGGUGAAAUGCUUAGAUAUCACGAAGAACUCCGAUUGCGAAGGCAGCCUGCUAAGCUGCAACUGACAUUGAGGCUCGAAAGUGUGGGUAUCAAACAGGAUUAGAUACCCUGGUAGUCCACACGGUAAACGAUGAAUACUCGCUGUUUGCGAUAUACUGCAAGCGGCCAAGCGAAAGCGUUAAGUAUUCCACCUGGGGAGUACGCCGGCAACGGUGAAACUCAAAGGAAUUGACGGGGGCCCGCACAAGCGGAGGAACAUGUGGUUUAAUUCGAUGAUACGCGAGGAACCUUACCCGGGCUUAAAUUGCAGAUGAAUUACGGUGAAAGCCGUAAGCCGCAAGGCAUCUGUGAAGGUGCUGCAUGGUUGUCGUCAGCUCGUGCCGUGAGGUGUCGGCUUAAGUGCCAUAACGAGCGCAACCCUUGUUGUCAGUUACUAACAGGUUCCGCUGAGGACUCUGACAAGACUGCCAUCGUAAGAUGUGAGGAAGGUGGGGAUGACGUCAAAUCAGCACGGCCCUUACGUCCGGGGCUACACACGUGUUACAAUGGGGGGUACAGAGGGCCGCUACCACGCGAGUGGAUGCCAAUCCCCAAAACCUCUCUCAGUUCGGACUGGAGUCUGCAACCCGACUCCACGAAGCUGGAUUCGCUAGUAAUCGCGCAUCAGCCACGGCGCGGUGAAUACGUUCCC
RNAcentral lists this ribosomal RNA (1017 nucleotides) under uncultured bacterium. RNAcentral describes it as "bacterial SSU rRNA". It matches the Rfam family "Bacterial small subunit ribosomal RNA", at positions 355 to 1375 of the family's 1533-position model. The record is from RNAcentral.